AUACGGAGGGUGCAAGCGUUAUUCGGAAUCACUGGGCGUAAAGGACGCGUAGGCGGGUUGGCAAGUCAGAUGUGAAAUCCUACAGCUUAACUGUAGAACUGCAUUUGAAACUGCUAACCUAGAGUAUGGGAGGGGGAGAUGGAAUUAGUGGUGUAGGGGUAAAAUCUGUAGAUAUCACUAGGAAUACCGAAAGCGAAGGCGAUCUCCUGGAACAUAACUGACGCUAAGGCGUGAAAGCGUGGGGAGCAAACAGGAUUAGAUACCCUAGUAGUCC
RNAcentral lists this ribosomal RNA (274 nucleotides) under uncultured bacterium. RNAcentral describes it as "partial 16S ribosomal RNA". It matches the Rfam family "Bacterial small subunit ribosomal RNA", at positions 523 to 796 of the family's 1533-position model. The record is from RNAcentral.